CCCUUAGAUGUUCUGGGCCGCACGCGCGCUACACUGACGGAGUCAACGAGUUGUCCUGCAUCGGAAGGUGUGGGUAAUCUUUUGAAACUUCGUCGUGCUGGGGAUAGGUCUUUGCAAUUUUCGAUCUUGAACGAGGAAUUCCUAGUAAGCGUGAUUCAUCAGAUCGCGUUGAUUACGUCCCUGCCCUUUGUACACACCGCCCGUCGCUACUACCGAUUGAAUGGUUUAGUGAGGCCUCGGGACUGGCGCGCUCGAGUAGCAAUACACCUGCGCGCCGGGAACUUGGUCAAACUUGAUCAUUUAGAGGAAGUAAAAGUCGUAACA
RNAcentral lists this ribosomal RNA (324 nucleotides) under uncultured eukaryote. RNAcentral describes it as "partial 18S ribosomal RNA". It matches the Rfam family "Eukaryotic small subunit ribosomal RNA", at positions 1470 to 1796 of the family's 1831-position model. The record is from RNAcentral.